UACGUAGGGUGCAAGCGUUAAUCGGAAUUACUGGGCGUAAAGCGCACGUAGUCGGCUUUGCAAGCCGGUUGUGAGAUCCCCGGGCUCAACCUGGGAACUGCAUCCGGGACUGCAUUGCUAGAGUAUGGGAGAGGGAAGCGGAAUUUCUGGUGUAGCAGUGAAAUGCGUAGAUAUCAGAAGGAACAUCAGUGGCGAAGGCGGCUUCCUGGACCAAUACUGACGAUCAGGUGCGAAAGCGUGGGGAGCGAACAGG
RNAcentral lists this ribosomal RNA (253 nucleotides) under uncultured bacterium. RNAcentral's name for it is "partial 16S ribosomal RNA". It matches the Rfam family "Bacterial small subunit ribosomal RNA", at positions 524 to 776 of the family's 1533-position model. The record is from RNAcentral.